Molecule: non-coding RNA, 4449 nt
Organism: Cyanistes caeruleus (blue tit)
Lineage: Eukaryota; Metazoa; Chordata; Aves; Passeriformes; Paridae
Source: RefSeq, a predicted model, not a curated record
UUUAUUCAGCUAGAAAAUUACUUGAAUGCUAGCAGUAGCUGGCACGCACUUCAUGUAUGACCUUGGCCUAAUCCCUUAAUCACUGUGUGUCUCUGUUUCCUCCUUUACAAAAGAAGAUAGUAAUGCUGGAGUCAGAAAUGUCUUAGCACUUAUGGAACUGUGAGUUGCUGAGGCAUGUUACUAUAUUAAGUCUUAAAUAAUGCCAUAUAUUUAUGACUACACUUGAGCAGACCACACAUGUAAGUGACUGACAAUGCCUUUGGAAAUUAGGCCACAUAGGGUCAACACAGAUUGAUCUCUGUAGAGUGUUAUAUUGAGCAAUUACCAUCAUUUUUGCUGAGUAUUUACCUGAAAAUUAAAACCUGGCUUUAAAAGAGAAAAUGUCAGCACAAUUACUAGAAUAAUGUCAGGGACACAUGGAUAACAGAAAAAUGUGCCAAGGGUAGCAAGAAUCAGGGACUGGGUUGCAGACAGAGAUUCUGAGAUGUGUUGUAAAGGACACCCUGCUUGAGACAGCUUCUCAACAAGAAGGCAUUGCAGGUGUUCUCAAAAGGUUUUAAUUCUCUUGGAAAAGAAGUCACUUUUAGCUAGGAUUCCAGAAAAUUGUCUCACAAUGGGAAAAUCCUAAGUGUUUUUUCACUUACAGCUCCAAAAAGAAUAACAUUUAUUACUGCCUUUAUAUCAUAUUCAGGCUGGUGUUUUCUAUAGAGUUUUAGCUGAUAGCAGGACAAAUGUCAUGGGCACUCUUAAUGGCACUGUGCGAUAGUAAGGAUUGAAAGCUUCAGACUGGAAUAAUUGGACUUUUGUUAUAGAAAAUACAAAACUGACCAAAAAUCAAGCUGAAAUACACCUACAAUUCAAACAAAACAAGAAGACUUGGAUUCCUUCAUAUUUUUUUAAUUGAUACAGCAACUAGAAGCCAGGAUAACUGAUGUUUUUGUUAGCUAUCUGCCUACUUCGGUGUACAUGCCAAGCUGAUGUUCCUAAAAAUAUCACUCCUCUGUAGUAAAUAGAUCAGAGUGUGAUAUAAGCAGGCCCUGAACACCUCCAUAAAUUUAAGGGAGUAGUUUAUGCUGAAGACCAGAGUUGUGCCCAGUGAAAUAAAACUGUUAGGUUAUUUAUGGAUUAUUUAUUUUUUUGCUUUAACACUCUUAUCCCUGCCACCCCCACAAUAACCUAGAUGAAAACACUGAAAGUACCGACUCCUCCAAACCCAAAAGAUGAAUAAUUCCAUACAUUUCUCUUUUUAGGAUGAAUAUUAUACUUCUAAAAAAAAAGUUACUAAAUGUUUGCUACACAUUUCAAAGCAGUGAGGUAAAAUAUUACAGAAGCUUUCUUGCUAUAUCAGAAAUGCAAUCGUGAAAAGCUUUUUGGAUUUAAAUCCUCCUACAUUACCAUAGUCUCUUCUUAGGCACUCCACUGUUGCACAAGCCUGGGGAGCACAAACAUAGUGUCAGCGUCUUGACUUUCCAAAAGUAGGUGCCAGCCUUUGCAGGCCCGGCAAUCAGCAAACAUUCCCGUGCUGCUGCACAGCCAGGUGUGUUUACGAGGUGGUUCUGACGCAAGCCUGCAGCAGGAGCUGGGUGAGAGGUUUCCUCUUUGGGAGGCCAGCUCCUGCAAUGACGCGUCCGUGUGGUGAGCACACGAGUGACGCUGACGUGACAAAAAUGCCAGUGACAUGCUGGUGUUUACUGGGAACGGGGCUGAGUCAUUGCUCAGCUUGGAGGACUCCUCCUUAGCAGAGCCUCAGCUUCCUGGAAGCUUCUUCCUCAGUCAGCUACCCUCAGAACUGACUACAGAAGAGCGUGUUUUUCAGAGAUCUGCAAAUACUCUGAAAUUAUCUUUUCUUCUUCCUGAAAUUAUUGCUCAAAAUCAUACGCAUUACAGUGCUUUUUCCUAAGUAAACUCACUUAUGUGGGUUUUGGUUUUUUUUGGUUUUGGAAUGCUUUUUAUUUCAAAUUUACUUUUUUGAUGUUCUAGGCUGAAGAGUGAGAAGUAAGUAAACUUUGUAGCAGUUAACUACUUUCUACCUCAGUUUAGCUUCAGUUGUAUCACUACUUAGGACAGAAAAUAGAAAUUAAGCUGCCCUUACUCAUGUCCCUUCUACCUCCAACUGCCAAGGGAAGACAGAAGUUAGGCAAGAGUUCGCUAUUUCAGGCUGCUAGCUCUACCCUGUCUCCGGGUACCAUAGGCAACAGCAAUAAAUCUUGAUCCAAGACAAGUGGAAGGAAAGAUCAGUGACUCAGAUCACAGGACUUCUUGCUGUUUUAAUGGCACACACUACGUUGUGACUUUCUGAAUCAGAAGGUUAAUUAAGAUUUGGUAUUUGUUCCUCAUAGUUCUACUCAGUUGUUAAAAGAGUAAAACACAUGUAGUCCUAUCAAGCAUUUGAUGUGUCUCCCUAAAGUCCAAUGAAGAUUAUUAAUUAAUUUGAAUUAUUUUGUUGAUGAGAGGACUUAAAAUAAGAAGGAAGUGUAUUUAUGACAAAAUGAUUCUUCUGUAUUGUGGGAUUAAAAAAAUCCAUUUUAGAGUUUUAUUGAAAAGACUGUUUUACAUACUUAAAAGCUUACUAAUGCCUUUCACUAUUCUUGUAAUGAAAUUAUGCCAUAUUCACCACCAUUGAAUAUCAUGACACACAAAAAGAAACAGUCUCAAGCUUUUAAAAUCUGCAUUUCUAGAUUAAUUGCUAAUUGAAAAGAACUACAUCGUCACACAAACCAGGAAAAAUAAUCAGAAUAGUGUGGUAGAGCAUGGCAAAAUUCAAUAAUAGCACUGUCCUAGGGCACAUGAGAAGGGCACAAGAAGAAAGUGUUAUCAUUUACUACUGUAAAGAGGGAAAGUUCCUUGCCCCGAUGAUGACACUUAGGGAAAAUGGGAAAGUGAUGUAUUUCUGAUGGUUUGUUUGAUCAGAAAGUUAACAUUCUGCAAUCUCAAUUGAGCUUGGAGAGUUGGGUUUGUAUGAAAGGUGCCAUUCAAACAAAUUAAAUCUAUAGUUUGUUUAGAAUUGUUCUAGCAAUGUGAAACCAGGUUUCUGCAGAUCUUCCAGUCUAUACUUCUGCAAGGAAAGAAUGUACAUUCCUUAAGGACUUUAUUAGAGGCAACAAAAUGUGUACCAAGUUUUCUCUUCAUUAAUUUUUAUUGAUAAAUGAAGAUCACAUUGUGAAUAUAUUGGGAUUUGCCCUCUGUUGUAACCUUUGAAUUUACUACCAGGCUUCAAAUGGUAUUAAAUAGAACUGGCUGAAAAUGGGGUACUGAUUCUGCAAACAGGGUAGCUUUUCAUUCUCUGCCCAUUGCUAGUGAAUGCAGUAAAUGAUGCUGUGGGGAUUCCUCCUAUUUUCUUAGCUUUUGUUUUCAUUUUGUUGAUUUUUUUUUAAAACUUCCUUAACAGAAAUUUUUUUUUUUAAAUACCAGAAAUAACCCCUAAAGAUCAAAGACCUGAAAUUCAUUCUGUUAUGUUGAAUGUGAGGAAAACAAUGAGAAACUCAACAAAGACAUUAAAAACAAAUUGACACAUUCCUGUUUAGGGAAGAUCUUAGAAGAAGCAGGUUGUGAAAGAGAAAUUCUUGUGUCUCACAUGUCCUUAGAGUAAGCUGUACUAGAUUAAACAGCACUUCUAGUGGGAGAAAGUUGUGGAUAUACAGUUAUAAAUGUUCCAAACACCAUCUUUGCUCACUACAUUUCAAACUAUGACCCAGGCCAAUUAAGGAGACCUUUUUGAUCUGAUAGUGGAUAGCUUUGUGGUAGAGCUGCAUUUUUGUAAGAGAAUAAUAAGUGGCCAUGGAAGAAAAUUGGUAUAAUUAUCAGAUCAUUUGCCUAAGAGCUUUCAGUUAACUAUCUAACACAAACAUAAGGGAAACUACAACUUACUUCUUUUUUAAAGGCAUGGCUAUUAGCAUAUUCUUUUAAAGUUUCAUCACCUGUGUUUAACUCCUUAGGAGUUCAGAGAUCCACCUGAUGAGUGAGUAGCACAGGAGAAACUAUUCAUAUCCAUUUUUCUUUUUGUACCCAACAUUUUACCCAUUUUGGACCCACUGACUUAUGCUGGUAAAAUUGAAUAUCCAUGAAGAGGCCACAGAUUACUCCCACAAGUGCAUAGGAUUUGAUAUUUCAGUUCCUGUGCCCCUGGUACCAAUACCUCAAAAAAUGGAGUCAGCUGUAAAGUAGUUCCAGUCCAAUUCCAGCCCAAGUUGCCACAGCUAAGCUUUUAAUACCAGUGUUCUGAUUGACUCUAAGUUAUAUAAAGUAAGACACUAGCAUUAUUUUCUUAUCCAAGCAUAUUGCAUGUGCUUUUUCUCUCAGUCAGUUUUCUGUGUUACAAGGUUAUAUUUUUGUCCUGUAAAACCUACUGUAAAAGCUCUUUGGGGCUUUUCUGUAUGUAAAAUUUCUGUGUAAACACUGGUCUCAGUGGACAAAGGUAACUUAUUAAAGUGAUGAAGUAUUGUGUGUCAA